GGUGGAGCGAUUUGUCUGGUUAAUUCCGAUAACGAACGAGACUCUAGCCUGCUAAAUAGGCAGCGGAUUCUUAGUCCGCUGUACUUCUUAGAGGGACAAGCAGCGUCUAGCUGCACGAGAUUGAGCAAUAACAGGUCUGUGAUGCCCUUAGAUGUUCGGGGCUGCACGCGCGCUACACUGAAGGAAUCAACAUGCUUCUCAACCUUGCCCGGAAGGGCUAGGUAACCCGUUGAAACUCCUUCGUGAUUGGGAUAGGGAAUUGCAAUUAUUUCCCUUGAACGAGGAAUUCCCAGUAAGUGCGGGUCAUCAGCUCGCGCUGAU
Molecule: ribosomal RNA, 321 nt
Filed under: Nematoda environmental sample
Lineage: Eukaryota; Metazoa; Nematoda
Description: SSU rRNA
Rfam family: Eukaryotic small subunit ribosomal RNA
Source: RNAcentral